This 488-nucleotide ribosomal RNA is filed under the name uncultured bacterium. RNAcentral describes it as "bacterial SSU rRNA". It matches the Rfam family "Bacterial small subunit ribosomal RNA", at positions 10 to 507 of the family's 1533-position model. The record is from RNAcentral.
AGUUUGACUCCGUGGCUCGAGGACGAACGCUGGCGGCGUGCUUAACACAUGCAAGUCGAACGGUGAAGGGAAGCUUGCUUCCCGGAUCAGUGGCGAACGGGUGAGUAACACGUGGGCAAUCUGCCCCAGACUUUGGGAUAACUACUCGAAAGAGUAGCUAAUACCGAAUAUUCAGCCUUGCAGGCAUCUGCGAGGCUGGAAAGUUUCUCGGUCUGGGAUGAGCCCGCGGCCUAUCAGCUAGUUGGUGAGGUAAUGGGCUCACCAAGGCGACGACGGGUAGCCGGCCUGAGAGGGCGACCGGCCACACUGGGACUGAGACACGGCCCAGACUCCUACGGGAGGCAGCAGUGGGGAAUAUUGCGCAAUGGGCGAAAGCCUGACGCAGCAACGCCGCGUGCGGGAUGAAGGCCUUCGGGUUGUAAACCGCUUUCAGCAGGGAAGAAGCGAAAGUGACGGUACCUGCAGAAGAAGCACCGGCUAACUACGUG